This 1581-nucleotide unclassified non-coding RNA is filed under the name uncultured fungus. RNAcentral describes it as "sequence contains 18S rRNA gene, ITS1, 5.8S rRNA gene, ITS2, 28S rRNA gene". The stretch from base 611 to 1581 matches the Rfam family "Eukaryotic large subunit ribosomal RNA", at positions 1 to 961 of the family's 3401-position model. Lineage: Eukaryota; Fungi. The record is from RNAcentral.
GGAAGGAUCAUUAUUGAAUUGAACUCGGUAUGGGUUGUUGCUGGCCUCCUAGAGGCAUCGUGCACGCCUUUCCGUUUCUCUCUUUACCCCCCUGUGCACCCUUUGUAGGCUUGGAUACUUUCGAGGAAACUCGGUUUGGGGGGUUGUAAGUGCCAUCAUUCCUACUUCCCCUACAUUCCCGGCCUAUGUCCUUUCAUAUACCCAUUGUAUGUCAUCGGAAUGAACGAAUUGGGCCUUUACAAGCUCGAUAUAAUUUAUUACAACUUCAACAACGGAUCUCUUGGCUCUCGCAUCGAUGAAGAACGCAGCGAAAUGCGAUAAGUAAUGUGAAUUGCAGAAUUCAGUGAAUCAUCGAAUCUUUGAACGCACCUUGCGCUCCUUGGUAUUCCGAGGAGCAUGCCUGUUUGAGUGUCAUUAAAUUCUCAAAUCCCCAUUAUGAUUGAUUUCGUAUGGGAAUUUGGAUCUGGGAGCGUGCAGGCCUAGUCUGCUCUCCUAAAUGCAUUAGUCGGACUUGUUGCUGACGGCGUUGGCGUGAUAAUUAUCUAUGCCUUCGUCUCUGCUCUCUAUGGUCCAGCUUCUAACCGUCCUUUAGGACCCUUUCUUGACAAUUUGACCUCAAAUCAGGUAGGACUACCCCGCUGAACUUAAGCAUAUCAAUAAGCGGAGGAAAAGAAACUAACAAGGAUUCCCCUAGUAACUGCGAGUGAAGCGGGAAAAGCUCAAAUUUAAAAUCUGGCAGCCUUUGGUUGUCCGAGUUGUAAUCUAGAGAAGUGUUAUCCGCGCUGGACCGUGUACAAGUCUCCUGGAACGGAGCGUCAUAGAGGGUGAGAAUCCCGUCUUUGACACGGACUACCAGGGCUAUGUGAUGCGCUCUCAAAGAGUCGAGUUGUUUGGGAAUGCAGCUCAAAAUGGGUGGUAAAUUCCAUCUAAAGCUAAAUAUUGGCGAGAGACCGAUAGCGAACAAGUACCGUGAGGGAAAGAUGAAAAGAACUUUGGAAAGAGAGUUAAACAGUACGUGAAAUUGUUGAAAGGGAAACGCUUGAAGUCAGUCGCGUUCUUCUGGGAGUCUUUGUUCAACGAGGAUACUUCCAGUGGGACGGGUCAGCAUCAAUUUUGACCGUCGGAAAAAGGUCAGGGAAUGUGGCACCUCUUUUGGUGUGUAUAGCCUCUGAUUGUAUACGGCGGUUGGAUUGAGGAACUCAGCACGCCGAAAGGCCAGGUAGCGAUACCAUGUCCGUGCUUAGGAUGUUGGCAUAAUGGCUUUAAUCGACCCGUCUUGAAACACGGACCAAGGAGUCUAACAUGCCUGCGAGUAUUUGGGUGGAAAACCCAUAUGCGUAAUGAAAGUGAAAGUUGAGAUCUCUGUCGUGGAGAGCAUCGACGCCCGGACCAGACCUUUUGUGACGGAUCCGCGGUAGAGCAUGUAUGUUGGGACCCGAAAGAUGGUGAACUAUGCCUGAAUAGGGUGAAGCCAGAGGAAACUCUGGUGGAGGCUCGUAGCGAUUCUAACGUGCAAAUCGAUCGUCGAAUUUGGGUAUAGGGGCGAAAGACUAAUCGAACCAUCUAGUAGCUGGUUCCUGC